GCUGACCGAUUCUACCUGUCAGAUGAGACCUUCCAUGUCAUUACCAAAACUGUCAUCUAUAUCCUCACUUACCUUCAGAAAUCAGGAUCAUCCUUUGGGAAUGAUCAGGAGAAGCAAACAGUUUUCUUGCAUGGGAAGCCAAAUAUCUACCUUGCAGCCAACAGGGAGCAUUUCCUGGCCAAAUAAGGAUGACGCCUCCCAGACUUCAGGCAGAGCUGCUGUAAUACAUCUCCAUCACACACUCCCCUCUGUACCGGCUCCACCUGGUCUCCCAACUGAUGGCUAUAAUGUGUAGCGUCCGAAAGAAAAAUAAUCAGAGAAUAAAGAGCCUAGUUACCCUGUUCUGACAGCUUUCUAAUAGACCAACCAGCCACAUCGCUCUAUCACACUGGGGGCAUUAUGACAGGAGAGGGGGAGAGGACACCAGGGCUCUUUGUAUGUGUGUGUAUGUUUAUGUGUGUGUGUGUGUGUGUGUGUGUGUGUGUGCUGUGAUUAGCUAGUGGUCUCCCAGUGCUGCCAGGUGAGCUUUGGAGUAUUUCAAGUCAAGCAAUCGAAUAAUGAAAUGUACACAACGAGCAUGUAUUACAUGUUGCCGCAAUCAGAUGAAAACCCUUUAUCUUAAAAAACUUUUCAGAAACAAAUUCACAAACUAGAGAAAAGAGCCUUGUUUUGAGCUCCACCACUAUGCAUGUUUGUUAUAAUGUCUCAUCAGUCUAAACCACGAACCAUGGCAAUAAGAAACAACAUGGAGAUAUCAGUUAACACUCCCAAAAAAAAAAAAAAAAAAAAGUUUUAGUGUUUCUGAUCUCUUUCAGUGCCGUAGAUGUGAUGGUGUCAAGUUUGGAUCGAUUUCACUGCAAAAGGUUGUUUGAAAGCCGUUGUCGUGCUGUAUUGUAGCAGAAAGAGUCUCAUUUUGAGACAAUGUGUGUUGCACUGCAUUGUAGCAGUAGUUUUCAGUGGUGUGCGGUAUUCAGUAAAGCCCUCCACCACACCCACCACAUGGACCGGUGCCUGGAAGAACUCAGACAAAGUUCCAGUUUUGCAGAGUGGGUGUGGGUCAAAUAAUUGUCCAAAAAAUACUAAUGAGGAGAUCAGACUAUUAAAGUGCAAUUGAUGUCA
Myripristis murdjan (pinecone soldierfish) is the source of this 1119-nucleotide long non-coding RNA. RefSeq lists it as uncharacterized. NCBI's taxonomy places the organism in Eukaryota, Metazoa, Chordata, Actinopteri, Holocentriformes, Holocentridae. The transcript is spliced from 2 exons. The record is from RefSeq and is a predicted model, not a curated record.